This 553-nucleotide ribosomal RNA is filed under the name uncultured bacterium. Its description in RNAcentral is "partial 16S ribosomal RNA". It matches the Rfam family "Bacterial small subunit ribosomal RNA", at positions 357 to 924 of the family's 1533-position model. The record is from RNAcentral.
GGGAAUAUUGCACAAUGGGCGAAAGCCUGAUGCAGCAACGCCGCGUGAGUGAUGAAGGUCUUCGGAUUGUAAAGCUCUGUCUUUUGGGACGAUAAUGACGGUACCAAAGGAGGAAGCCACGGCUAACUACGUGCCAGCAGCCGCGGUAAUACGUAGGUGGCGAGCGUUGUCCGGAUUUACUGGGCGUAAAGGGUGCGUAGGCGGAUGUUUAAGUGAGAUGUGAAAUACCCGGGCUUAACUUGGGUGCUGCAUUUCAAACUGGAUAUCUAGAGUGCAGGAGAGGAGAAUGGAAUUCCUAGUGUAGCGGUGAAAUGCGUAGAGAUUAGGAAGAACACCAGUGGCGAAGGCGAUUCUCUGGACUGUAACUGACGCUGAGGCACGAAAGCGUGGGUAGCAAACAGGAUUAGAUACCCUGGUAGUCCACGCCGUAAACGAUGAGUACUAGGUGUAGGAGGUAUCGACCCCUUCUGUGCCGCAGUAAACACAUUAAGUACUCCGCCUGGGAAGUACGAUCGCAAGAUUAAAACUCUAAAGUGAAUUGACGGGGGUCAUA